AGAUGUGACCUUUCUAUGAGGUCUGUUAUCCUAUUGAUUGACAGCGUUGGUUUGGCUGAUCUGGCUAGUUAAGAGCCCCCCUUCUUUCCUUAUGGCUCCAUGUGUGUGUCCCUCCCCCAAAGAUGCCUGCUUGGUGGAGGAGGACAACCAUCCCAGACAGGGAGAACAUACAGUACUAUUCUUUGGUCAGAGGUAUACAGUAGCUGCCCACCCCUGCUAGAACCUCCAAACAAACUCAAUGCUCAUUUUCAUGCACUGUCAUUGUCAAGAUUCUACACAAAUAGCAUCAUGUUUAGAAAAUUGCCUCAGACAU
This 313-nucleotide small nuclear RNA is filed under the name Pogona vitticeps (central bearded dragon). Its description in RNAcentral is "7SK RNA (ENSPVIG00000000407.1)". It matches the Rfam family "7SK RNA". Rfam says of the family: 7SK was discovered as an abundant small nuclear RNA in the mid-70s but a possible function has only recently been suggested. Two independent studies have found that 7SK RNA binds the CDK9/cyclin T complex (known as elongation factor P-TEFb). The record is from RNAcentral. Lineage: Eukaryota; Metazoa; Chordata; Lepidosauria; Squamata; Agamidae.